RNAcentral lists this ribosomal RNA (92 nucleotides) under Caerostris extrusa. The record is from RNAcentral. Lineage: Eukaryota; Metazoa; Arthropoda; Arachnida; Araneae; Araneidae.
AGUACCUGUUCUCGUUAGAUCACCGAAGUCAAGCAUCAUUGGGCGCGGUCAGUACUUGGGUGGGUGACCACCUGGGAACACCGCGUGCUGUU